CACUGCUUCUGUAGUCUGCCUUAUCGGAUCCUCCGCCAGGUUUUAUAUGCUACUAAUAUACUACUUGGGGCCAUGACAGGAGUACCCCCAAAUCCUGCUGCAGGGGCCCUCUUCAAACUGAUCUACGCAGCACUGCCCUCCUUAGGCUCAGCCCCGGGCUCUGUUCAGGCUGCUGCUGCCCGAGCGCUGGGCUGCGCUCUGGGUGUGUGACUUCCGGAGAGCCCAAUGGCGGGGAGCGAGGGGGGGCGAUUACGACAGGCUCGAGCUCGGCACGAGCGCGGCCGGCGUGAGGAAUUGUGGGGGGAGAUGCUGCCAACAAUGCAUUACAUUUGCUUAACAACAAGUCGGGGUUGUUUUCCUCUCUCUCCUCCCAUGCCGGUGUCCUUGACAAUACAGCAAAGCAGGAAUAUAAACACCAAGCGUGUCUCCACUGCAAGAGGAGCAGGGAGUGCAACGGAGGCUUCUGCUCAGUCUCCUCUCCCCGGGUCACCAGAAUCCCCACAGUCCUUGGAGAUGAGGAGCGCCGGAAGAUUGUGGCCUGGCCAUCCCUUACGUCAUGAAAGUGAUUUGUGCCACAUUGCUAAUUUGGUGCAAUCCAUAACCUUCUGAUCUCCUGUGUUUGUAAUUGCUUUUCAGCUUGCAGAAUGUUUUCUCUGACAUAGUUCUUGAAUAAAGAAAUUACUAUCGCUCA
RNAcentral lists this long non-coding RNA (691 nucleotides) under Gopherus agassizii (Agassiz's desert tortoise). RNAcentral's name for it is "lncRNA (ENSGAGG00000009124.1)". Lineage: Eukaryota; Metazoa; Chordata; Testudines; Testudinidae. The record is from RNAcentral.